Molecule: unclassified non-coding RNA, 1070 nt
Filed under: Hevea brasiliensis (rubber tree)
Lineage: Eukaryota; Viridiplantae; Streptophyta; Magnoliopsida; Malpighiales; Euphorbiaceae
Source: RNAcentral
AAUGUCUUUAUUUGAUGUAUUUGUACUUACUAUAUAGUUGAGUAUCUUUGUUUUAUUUGUAUCUACCAAUAUAUAGUCAUCUUACAAACUUUACAAAUUUUUCAAAAAAAUUUGCAUUGCACUAGGUUGUUAUGUUACGUUACGGCCGUUACAAGCCUGUUUCAGUUACCUGAGACCAUGAUUUAAAACAUGGUCCUCAAUGAUUGGAAUUCAACCUUUAGCCUAUUGAGGAAAUAAUGAUGUGAACAAAACCAAAUAGUUUGUUUUACUAUAUCGUUGAAUUGUACCCUAAUAGGCUAACAUUUUUUGCUCUAAACAAAUAAACUUUUAUGUAGGGGAAAGCAUUCGGUCGGUUCGACUCCGAACCAAAACGAUUAAGAAAAACCAAAGAACCGAAUCACUAAUAAAUGUGGACUGAACCAAACCAAACUUUAAAGAAUAACUGAACCAAACCGAACCGACAAACAGCGGUUCGGUUCGAUUCGAUUCCUAAAAACCAAAAUUAAAAAAAAGCAUAAAAAUCAAUUCACAGUGAAGUAAAUAUCAAGCUUCCAUCCAAAAUCUUUAACACCCACAUUACAAUAUGCAACAAGAAAUCCUAGAUUUCAAUAUGCAAUAACAAAUCGCAGAACAAAACCGCACAUUGACAAAUUGCCAAAUCCAACCAUGGAAUAAAACAAAUCAAAACUCAAUCAUAAAAUGCAAAAUGUAAGAACAAAUCAAAGUUACAAUCAAUGAAAACCCAAAUUACAGGAACAAAACCCAAAUGAGACGGCGAUGAGUCGAUGACUUGGCAAUUGAAAACUUAGACAUGCAGCAGUGAGGUGACUGCCAAAUCAACAACAUCAACAUGAGAUUGAGGAGUUACUACCUUCAUCAUUGCAGUCCCUUGCUUCCAUCUUUUUUAAGUAGUAAAAAUCCAAGUUGAAUAAAAGAGGAAUUGAAAAAGAAAAAUGGGCAUAGGAGAAUGGUGUGAGGGGACUAGGAAGUAGGCACCUUUUCGGCAUGAGAGCACUGGGCACCACUCACUAGAUAAAAGAGAAGAUGAAUUGAAGAAGAAGAAGAAGAAG